GACGAACGCUGGCGGCGUGCCUAAUACAUGCAAGUUGAGCGAUGAAGAUUGGUGCUUGCCCCAAUUUGAAGAGCAGCGAACGGGUGAGUAACGCGUGGGGAAUCUGCCUUUGAGCGGGGGACAACAUUUGGAAACGAAUGCUAAUACCGCAUAACAACUUUAAACAUAAGUUUUAAGUUUGAAAGCUGCAAUUGCAUCACUCAAAGAUGAUCCCGCGUUGUAUUAGCUAGUUGGUGAGGUAAAGGCUCACCAAGGCGAUGAUACAUAGCCGACCUGAGAGGGUGAUCGGCCACAUUGGGACUGAGACACGGCCCAAACUCCUACGGGAGGCAGCAGUAGGGGAUCUUCGGCAAUGGACGAAAGUCUGACCGAGCAACGCCGCGUGAGUGAAGAAGGUUUUCGGAUCGUAAAACUCUGUUGGUAGAGAAGAACGUUGGUGAGAGUGGAAAGCUCAUCAAGUGACGGUAACUACCCAGAAAGGGACGGCUAACUACGUG
RNAcentral lists this ribosomal RNA (497 nucleotides) under uncultured bacterium. Its description in RNAcentral is "partial 16S ribosomal RNA". It matches the Rfam family "Bacterial small subunit ribosomal RNA", at positions 28 to 507 of the family's 1533-position model. The record is from RNAcentral.